UACGUAGGGUCCAAGCGUUAUCCGGAAUCACUGGGCGUAAAGCGUGCGUAGGUGGCGUGUUAAGUGUGCUGUUAAAUCGUGUGGCUCAACCAUAUCGAUGUGUCGCAUACUGGCAUGCUAGAGGGAAGCAGAGGCAAGUGGAAUUUGUAGUGUAGCAGUGAAAUGCGUAGAUAUUACAAGGAACACCAAUGGCGAAGGCAGCUUGCUGGGCUUCUUCUGACACUAAGGUACGAAAGCGUGGGGAGCGAACAGG
RNAcentral lists this ribosomal RNA (253 nucleotides) under uncultured bacterium. RNAcentral's name for it is "partial 16S ribosomal RNA". It matches the Rfam family "Bacterial small subunit ribosomal RNA", at positions 524 to 776 of the family's 1533-position model. The record is from RNAcentral.